This 331-nucleotide ribosomal RNA is filed under the name uncultured bacterium. RNAcentral describes it as "partial 16S ribosomal RNA". It matches the Rfam family "Bacterial small subunit ribosomal RNA", at positions 338 to 683 of the family's 1533-position model. The record is from RNAcentral.
CCUACGGGUGGCAGCAGUGGGGAAUAUUGGGCAAUGGGCGCAAGCCUGACCCAGCAACGCCGCGUGAAGGAAGAAGGCUUUCGGGUUGUAAACUUCUUGUCGGAGGGACGAAGAAAGUGACGGGACCGCAGGAAUAAGCCACGGCUAACGACGGGCCAGCAGCAGCGGUAAUACGUAGGUGGCACGCGUCAUCCGGAAUUAGUGGGUGUAAAGGGCGUGUAGGCGGGAAAGGAAGUCAGAUGGGAAAACUCAGGGCUCAACCCUGAGCCUGCAUUUGAAACGUUUUUUCUUGAGUGCUGGGGAGGCAAUCGGAAUUCCGUGUGUAGCGGUG